Bubalus bubalis (water buffalo) is the source of this 748-nucleotide long non-coding RNA. RefSeq lists it as uncharacterized. The transcript is spliced from 2 exons. The record is from RefSeq and is a predicted model, not a curated record. NCBI's taxonomy places the organism in Eukaryota, Metazoa, Chordata, Mammalia, Artiodactyla, Bovidae.
AGGAGGGAGAGUGGAUGAGUGUGUGUUCGCUUCACAUGGGAGAGGCAAGGGCAGUGUGUCACAAACGUGGGGAGGGGGUCGUGUGUGCUUGUGUGAGUCUCUGCAACGAAACUGUUAUGGAGAAUAGGACCGGUGCAGUAAAGUGUACAUACGUAAAAGAGAGACAUGGCGAUUUGAAGAGUGAAACUGACUGCGAAGUUGAGUGAGGUUGAAUAAAUAUUCACAAAUGCUAUCACUGUCGCCAACUUCCUCAGGUUUUCUUGUAGCUCAAAUCUUGAUUGGUUUUCUUCCCCUUAAUUUUUCGGAUACUGUCACUAAAUUUUAAAACAGAAUCAUAUUAAUACCAUCCUCUCCUUUCCCGGCUUUACAGCGGAAGGGUAGAAAUUUAGGGAGGCUGACGGGUAUUUUUAGAGCGUUCUGGAGGGUGUGCGCCUGCGUCAAAGAGCUGUUACUUUGAUGCGGUAGCUUUUUUUUUUUUUUUUUCUUCUGAGGUGGGAUUCGGCUUUGGAAGUGCAAGUCUCACUGUAGGGGAGACCGUGUGUUUGUCCCGUGGCGAUGAGUAAAUUUCAAUACAAAAGGAUUAGAUUUAAAAAAGGGGCUGACGCUUACCAUAAAUGUCGUGUUUCUCCCUGCAAGCACUCUGAAUGAUUUUAGCGUGUUGAGAAGGCGUGACAGGACAGCCCAGAAGGAGGAAGGGGUGGGGGAAAGGAGGGAACUCCGUUUAACAAAUAAAAGAGAAUUAACUUCA